UACGGGGGGAGCAAGCGUUGUUCGGAAUUACUGGGCGUAAAGCGUGUGUAGGCGGCUCUGCAAGUCGGAUGUGAAAGCCCCGGGCUCAACCUGGGAAGUGCACUCGAAACUGCUGAGCUUGAGUAUCGGAGAGGUUGGUGGAAUUCUCGGUGGAGAGGUGAAAUUCGUAGAUAUCGAGGGGAACACCAGUGGCGAAGGCGGCCAACUGGACGAAUACUGACGCUGAGACACGAAAGCGUGGGGAGCAAACAGG
Molecule: ribosomal RNA, 253 nt
Filed under: uncultured bacterium
Lineage: Bacteria
Description: partial 16S ribosomal RNA
Rfam family: Bacterial small subunit ribosomal RNA
Source: RNAcentral